CCUACGGGUGGCAGCAGUCGAGAAUCAUUCACAAUGGGGGAAACCCUGAUGGUGCGACGCCGCGUGGGGGAAUGAAGGUCUUCGGAUUGUAAACCCCUGUCAUGUGGGAGCAAAUUAAAAAGAUAGUACCACAAGAGGAAGAGACGGCUAACUCUGUGCCAGCAGCCGCGGUCAUACAGAGGUCUCAAGCGUUGUUCGGAAUCACUGGGCGUAAAGCGUGCGUAGGCUGUUUCGUAAGUCGUGUGUGAAAGGCGCGGGCUCAACCCGCGGACGGCACAUGAUAAUGCGAGACUAGAGUAAUGGAGGGGGAACCGGAAUUCGCGGUGUAGCAGUGAAAUGCGUAGAUAUCGAGAGGAACACUCGUGGCGAAGGCGGGUUCCUGGACAGUAACUGACGCUGAGGCACGAAGGCCAGGGGAGCGAAAGGGAUUAGAUACCCGUGUAGUC
RNAcentral lists this ribosomal RNA (446 nucleotides) under uncultured bacterium. RNAcentral describes it as "partial 16S ribosomal RNA". It matches the Rfam family "Bacterial small subunit ribosomal RNA", at positions 338 to 795 of the family's 1533-position model. The record is from RNAcentral.